Molecule: ribosomal RNA, 617 nt
Filed under: uncultured bacterium
Lineage: Bacteria
Description: bacterial SSU rRNA
Rfam family: Bacterial small subunit ribosomal RNA
Source: RNAcentral
CCUACGGGAGGCAGCAGUAGGGAAUCUUCCGCAAUGGACGAAAGUCUGACGGAGCAACGCCGCGUGAACGAUGAAGGCCUUCGGGUCGUAAAGUUCUGUUGUUAGGGAAGAACAAGUGUUAGUUGAAUAAGCUGGCACCUUGACGGUACCUAACCAGAAAGCCACGGCUAACUACGUGCCAGCAGCCGCGGUAAUACGUAGGUGGCAAGCGUUGUCCGGAAUUAUUGGGCGUAAAGCGCGCGCAGGCGGUUUCUUAAGUCUGAUGUGAAAGCCCCCGGCUCAACCGGGGAGGGUCAUUGGAAACUGGGAAACUUGAGUGCAGAAGAGGAAAGUGGAAUUCCAAGUGUAGCGGUGAAAUGCGUAGAGAUUUGGAGGAACACCAGUGGCGAAGGCGACUUUCUGGUCUGUAACUGACGCUGAGGCGCGAAAGCGUGGGGAGCAAACAGGAUUAGAUACCCUGGUAGUCCACGCUGUAAACGAUGAGUGCUAAGUGUUAGAGGGUUUCCGCCCUUUAGUGCUGAAGUUAACGCAUUAAGCACUCCGCCUGGGGANCGGUCGCAAGCUGAAACUCAAAUGAAUUGACCGGNUGAGACGUGCGACGCGACGACGAGGGAGAG